RNAcentral lists this transfer RNA (805 nucleotides) under Bradyrhizobium sp. RNAcentral's name for it is "partial 16S-23S ribosomal RNA intergenic spacer". The stretch from base 170 to 243 matches the Rfam family "tRNA". Lineage: Bacteria; Pseudomonadati; Pseudomonadota; Alphaproteobacteria; Hyphomicrobiales; Nitrobacteraceae. The record is from RNAcentral.
CGUUUUAGAAACAUUCAGGGGCCAACAGUUUCAGGAUUGUUGAGCUCCAUUGGCGGGAUUUCGCCGUCUUCGUUUCUCUUUCUUCGCGGACGAACACGCGCCAGGGGCUGAGCGCUGUGCGAUGCAUCGACUUCACGUCAGGUGCGCGCCGGCAUGUCUCUCGUGUUAGGGGCUUGUAGCUCAGUUGGUUAGAGCGCGCGCUUGAUAAGCGUGAGGUCGGAAGUUCAAGUCUUCCCAGGCCCACCACGCUUCGCCGUCGGCUACGCGUGGCGCAGCCACGUAGGAGACGAAGCGAAGCGUGCCCGGCAUAGCCCGAAGGGCGACGACGGGCGCAACGAGAGCAUUCGUCUUCUGGUACGGGGCCAUAGCUCAGCUGGGAGAGCGCGUGCUUUGCAAGCAUGAGGUCGUCGGUUCGAUCCCGUCUGGCUCCACCAGAUGGAAUUGAAGCUCGAGACUACUCCUUGUGGAGCUAGCUCUGUUCAUUUCGUCCGCGAAACAUCACUUCGCACUCAUUGGUCCGGAUGGACGGUGACGUGCGUGUUUUCUGACAUCGUAAAGAGGAGAUCGAUCCGAGUUUGGAUCUGCGAAGCAAUUCGCGGGUACCAUUCCUAAUCUCCAGAUCGUUUUCGGCGCUCGCGCAUCGCAGUUCAUCGCAAGAUGAGUGAGAUGAGCGAGUUGUAAAACGAUCUUUGUAGCGAAGCUUGACCGCCUCGCUAUCGGGCCGAUCUUACGAAGCAAGCUGGGUCUUUCUAGUCAAUGUCCGGCUGCGCGAUAGCACUCAUCGAGGGGUGCGCGGCCUUAACCG